UUAUAAGAGACAGCAGCCGCCACGGUAAUACGGAGGGUGCAAGCGUUAAUCGGAAUUACUGGGCGUAAAGCGCACGCAGGCGGUCUGACAAGUCAGAUGUGAAAUCCCCGGGCUUAACCUGGGAACUGCAUUUGAAACUGUCAGGCUGGAGUCUUGUAGAGGGGGGUGGAAUUCCAGGUGUAGCGGUGAAAUGCGUAGAGAUCUGGAGGAAUACCGGUGGCGAAGGCGGCCCCCUGGACAAAGACUGACGCUCAGGUGCGAAAGCGUGGGGAGCAAACAGGAUUAGAUACCCCAGUAGUCCCUGUCUCUUAUAC
RNAcentral lists this ribosomal RNA (314 nucleotides) under uncultured bacterium. RNAcentral describes it as "partial 16S ribosomal RNA". It matches the Rfam family "Bacterial small subunit ribosomal RNA", at positions 499 to 807 of the family's 1533-position model. The record is from RNAcentral.